AGGACCCUCGAUGCUUUGUCGUGGUUAGGAGACUUCAGUUCCUUGCCACCCUAAAGGAGAUCGUGUCCUCCAACAUCUGGCCCUGCUGCCUUUGGCACCACAGCUUUCUACAUACCCUGGAGCAGAGACUUAACUGUGUUUCCUUAACAAUAUUUUCAUGCUGUUUCCUAUAUCAGGAUAUAAAUACCACAAAAC
RNAcentral lists this long non-coding RNA (195 nucleotides) under Fukomys damarensis (Damara mole-rat). RNAcentral's name for it is "lncRNA (ENSFDAG00000033359.1)". The record is from RNAcentral. Lineage: Eukaryota; Metazoa; Chordata; Mammalia; Rodentia; Bathyergidae.